UACGUAGGCACCAAGCGUUGUCCGGAUUUAUUGGGCGUAAAGAGUUCGUAGGCGGUUCGGUAAGUCGGGUGUGAAAACUCUGGGCUCAACCCGGAGCCGCCACCCGAUACUGCUGUGACUCGAGUGCGGUAGGGGAGCGGGGAAUUCCUGGUGUAGCGGUGAAAUGCGCAGAUAUCAGGAGGAACACCAGUGGCGAAGGCGCCGCUCUGGGCCGUGACUGACGCUGAGGAGCGAAAGCGUGGGUAGCAAACAGG
RNAcentral lists this ribosomal RNA (254 nucleotides) under uncultured bacterium. RNAcentral's name for it is "partial 16S ribosomal RNA". It matches the Rfam family "Bacterial small subunit ribosomal RNA", at positions 524 to 776 of the family's 1533-position model. The record is from RNAcentral.